Molecule: long non-coding RNA, 345 nt
Organism: Passer montanus (Eurasian tree sparrow)
Lineage: Eukaryota; Metazoa; Chordata; Aves; Passeriformes; Passeridae
Exons: 2
Source: RefSeq, a predicted model, not a curated record
UGGGAAAGGAGCAGGAAAAUCCCAAAUCCCUGGGUUGGGAAGAGGAAAAAGUGGGAAGGGAGCAGGAAAACCCCAAAUCCCGGGAAUUGCGGGAGCGGCUCCGGAACGUUCCGCGCUCGUCCCGCAGAGCUGAGCUGCUCCCGGAACGAGCAGGAGCUGCAGGAGCUGCUCCUCGAGGCCAGCCAGGACACGGCUCCGGAGCCGCUGUGACCGCAGGUCCUGGAGGGGGAAACUCCGGAGCUUUCCCCUCUUCCCACUCCGCACAAGAUUCCAACCAAACCUCGGGAAUUUCGGGACUUUUUCUUGGGAAAAGAAAAACACGAAACACACAAAACAAAAAAAAAA